AACGUCUGCUUUUGUUUGGCUUCUAGUCGCCAUGUUUGUGCUGGUAGUCGGAGUUUAUUAGGGAGUUGGGAUAGGUAAGUUUGUAUAUGUGUUCCCUGCUAAGAUUUCUUAUAUUUAUAGUUUUUCAGUUAUUUGUGGAGAUUGAGGGUGUGGGUGUUCAAGGAGUAUAUCCAAAACGGUUUUGUGUUUUUUCGUUUGAAUAGGGAGUAUAAAAGUAGGUUUCAACAGUUCACCGCUAGAUGGCAGUUACUGUUUUUUUCUCUUAUCUUAUUCAAGUAGAAAGGGAAAGUAAAGUUUUUCCCUUAUAGUUUCUACAAGUUUGUUUAUAUUUACAUAUACAUAUACAUAUUGUUGUAUGUUGUUAUUGUUAUAUUUUAUUUGUUUUAUUUUAUGUUAUUUUUAUUCCAUUUUAUUUUAUUUUAUUUAUUUAUCUUUUUCUUUUA
Molecule: long non-coding RNA, 443 nt
Filed under: Daphnia magna
Lineage: Eukaryota; Metazoa; Arthropoda; Branchiopoda; Diplostraca; Daphniidae
Description: uncharacterized LOC116922641, transcript variant X2
Source: RNAcentral